AUGCCUGCAGAAACUUGUGCUAAAGAUUUCAUUUUUAUGGUGUUUCAAGAGGCAUCACGAAACGAUGUCAAACGCGUGGUAUUAUCAAUCAAUGCAAGAAUUUGAGGUUGUUUGUAAACCCCAGUUUCAAAGUUUCAAACGGGUAAUUUUUUUAUUCAUCUAGUGGUAGUCUCCUCAAAAUUCUCACUGUACGUUGGAGCUCUGUUUUGGGUGAAAGAACAAUACGUAUUAAUAUCCAACUGAUGAUGGUUCAGAGAAUACGCAUAGUCUGAAGAUGAAUGAUAUGAUUGUUGUGAGAAUUGGGUUGAGAAUUUUGUUGCAGAUGAUUGAUUUUGGAAUUAGGGUUUGGGGUUUGAAGAUGAAUUGGGGUUGAAGAUGAAUUGAGGGUGUUAUUAGGGUUUUAAAAAGGGAAACACAAGUGGGGGAGGGGAAAUGACCGUUCUACCCUCAUGUGCAAGACACAUGACCAUAUUUAACCAAAAAAUUUGACUGGGUUAGGGCUAAAGGACAUAACGUGCAAGAUUUUAAAACAUUAAGGACAAAAGUCAUCAAUUUUAAAGGUAAAGGACAGCGCCUGCAAUUUGCUACAAAUAUAAAGGACAAAACUUGUAAUUUACUCUUAUAAUUUAGUUGUGGAACCCACCUACAAUCUGGUUAUCUUCAACCUUCACUUACCAUCGCCACCAACAAAGCAUCUUCAUCCUCAACCUACCACCCACAACCAUCAACAACCUCCACCACAACCGCCACCUCCAUUCCUUUUUUCAUUCUCUGCACUCAAACGUCAACACACACGUCAUCAUACAUCCGUCUUCCUUCACUUCAAUCCAGAUUGGAAACUGUACGAUACCGUACCGAUCCAGUCCGCCUUUUAUACACCCAGCCAAACCCGCCUUCUCCGAUGAGACUAUCUGACUGGAUAUUCUUUGUAGCGGUCUUCAGGUUGCUCAACAUAAACGCUUCAGAUUGUUAGUGAUCGAAAACUUUCUUUUGCAGAUGCUUUUGAAGCUUUCUUGAUUUUCUUCUUACUUGCUUCUUAUUUUCUUUCCUGUUGGUUAAUUGCAUCCUCUGUAAUAACAAGAUUUGAUAAUAUCACAAACCCAUAUCAUAUUUGUUAAUAAAGAUUAUAAAGUUUAGAUUUUUAAUGAAAGAUUUUAAUAAAAUCAUAAACCCAGAUGAUAUUUUUUUUAAAAAAAAAUUGUAAAUUUUAGAUAUUGAAAAAGAGAGUAUACACAUCCUCUGGAAGAAACAUGAGCAACAAAGCCCAUGAAUCAUACAACCAGAAUAUGGGUUUGUUGUGAGAAAUCAACAAGAUU
RNAcentral lists this long non-coding RNA (1316 nucleotides) under Helianthus annuus (common sunflower). Its description in RNAcentral is "hypothetical non coding rna". Lineage: Eukaryota; Viridiplantae; Streptophyta; Magnoliopsida; Asterales; Asteraceae. The record is from RNAcentral.